This 492-nucleotide ribosomal RNA is filed under the name uncultured bacterium. RNAcentral's name for it is "partial 16S ribosomal RNA". It matches the Rfam family "Bacterial small subunit ribosomal RNA", at positions 29 to 507 of the family's 1533-position model. The record is from RNAcentral.
AGUGAACGCUGGCGGUAGGCCUAACACAUGCAAGUCGAACGGCAGCACAGUAAGAGCUUGCUCUUACGGGUGGCGAGUGGCGGACGGGUGAGGAAUACAUCGGAAUCUACUUUUUCGUGGGGGAUAACGUAGGGAAACUUACGCUAAUACCGCAUACGACCUACGGUUGAAAGCAGGGGAUCUUCGGACCUUGCGCGAUUGAAUGAGCCGAUGUCGGAUUAGCUAGUUGGCGGGGUAAAGGCCCACCAAGGCGACGAUCCGUAGCUGGUCUGAGAGGAUGAGCAGCCACACUGGAACUGAGACACGGUCCAGACUCCUACGGGAGGCAGCAGUGGGGAAUAUUGGACAAUGGGCGCAAGCCUGAUCCAGCCAUACCGCGUGGGUGAAGAAGGCCUUCGGGUUGUAAAGACCUUUUGUUGGGAAAGAAAAGCAGCAGGUUAAUACCCCGCUGUUCUGACGGUACCCAAAGAAUAAGCACCGGCUAACUUCGUG